ACGGCCGGGCCGGGCCGGGCCUCGCGGCGGCCGGGCGGCCUUUACGGGGUCCUGCCUGGGUCAAAAUAACCGCGGGCGCGCGGCUGCCGCCGGCCGGCGCAACGACAGAGGUCGAAGGGGGAGUGGGCCCGGCCGCUAGGCUCGGCCCGGGUGACGUGGGGCGCAGGCGUGCUCCUGCCGCACGUGUGCCCGCUGCCCGCGCGGCCGCUUCUCGUGCGGCGGCAGUUGAGAGGCCUCGGCACCGGGGCUGAAGUAACGCUAACGGCAGAGAGCCUGGUAGGGGGCUCGAGUCCACUCUGGUCUUCAUAAGCUACGGAGCAUCUUACCUGUGCCAGCUGACGUGAAGCGGGAGUCCCGAUCCUUGUCCGCUGGACAGCUCUCUCGGAGAGAUGUUCUCUGUCACAGAGCGGCGCCAUAACAGCGGAGUCGCAGCUGUCCCAGCAGGGCAGGUUUCAACCGCGCGCUGCGCUCUGUCGCCGCGGCAUCGCGUCCGUCUGGCAAAACAAACCCACCCACCACCCGCGUCCUCCGGCUCGAACAGCCGGCGCGGCACAGCGGGCGCGCUGCCUGCGGGUACCGCGGGGUUUGCCGUCGUCUUCGGAGUUCGUUCGUUCAGUAAAAACUACGAAAUAGCAGAACCCCAUGAAGCGUGCGUUUGAUGAAGUGAAGCCGGCACGGAAUAAGCCAAUUAAUGAGCAUUCUGAGCCUGAACAACAGAACCGACGUGCUGUUGUCUGUUGAGUAAAACUCGGUUCAGUCUGGGAUCUUCAAAUCACUCUGACUAAAACUCACUUUCCCGGGGUAAAAGAUUGGGUAAAACUUCACAUACUGCAGGACUUGCUUCUCAAAAGUGAUGCAGUUAAUAUUUGCACGUGUCAGAGGAUUUCUGCAAAUUCUCUGCAUGGGAUUACAACUGCCAUUAAUACAUAGUUCAUAAGUAAAAAUCUGUAAUGGGAAUGGAAAGAGUUCAUUAAAGAAAUUUAUUCCCCAAUAAUAA
Molecule: long non-coding RNA, 997 nt
Organism: Gallus gallus (chicken)
Lineage: Eukaryota; Metazoa; Chordata; Aves; Galliformes; Phasianidae
Exons: 2
Source: RefSeq, a predicted model, not a curated record